Neodiprion virginianus is the source of this 587-nucleotide long non-coding RNA. RefSeq lists it as uncharacterized. The transcript is spliced from 3 exons. Lineage: Eukaryota; Metazoa; Arthropoda; Insecta; Hymenoptera; Diprionidae. The record is from RefSeq and is a predicted model, not a curated record.
UAAUUUAAAAUGGUGGAUACAUGACCUUCGGUGCUGCUCGUGGCAGAAAUAGCAACUCGAUGGUAUUAUGAAAAUAACACGAGAUAGUGACUUUAUGAUACUAUUUUCCGCCUAACAAUAAAAUGUAUAGUUGAAUGAAUGUUUGGAGCAACAAUGCGGAUACCACAUUACAAUCAUACUUUUGUACCUACUUCGUUGAGCUGUAUUUGAUUCACGAAGGUUUUUCUUGCGUUCUCUUGUUUGUAAAUAAACACGCACCAGCUACGUUCGGUAUUUAGAUGUGAUUACACGAUUACCUUGAAACGCGUCGCAAGGAGAUCGACGAAGCGCAAUGAAACGUCGCGUUUUGAGAUUUGUAGAUUUCAUUUAUGAUUGACCAGGAGCUUCGCCUCUGCGCACUUCGCACCUCACUCUUUUGUGCUCGCUGUGACUCAACAUGUUCUAGCCUUCGGGGUGACACAAUAAUCUUCUGUGUUUUUACCACAUUUUUCUAAUGUGCUGUUUUCAACUAUCUUGAGGAGACGAAGAACGGAAAGGACCGAUCUUGCAGAAAAUGGGCCACUUUUACUGGUUACUGGUAUCCUACU